This 350-nucleotide unclassified non-coding RNA is filed under the name uncultured fungus. RNAcentral describes it as "sequence contains ITS1". The stretch from base 1 to 104 matches the Rfam family "5.8S ribosomal RNA", at positions 50 to 154 of the family's 154-position model. The record is from RNAcentral. Lineage: Eukaryota; Fungi.
AAACUGCGAAAAGUAAUGUGAACUGCAUGCUUUGUGAAUCAUUGAAUUUUCGAAUGCACCUUGCACGUGGCGGCAUGCCGGCACGUAUGCCUGUUUGAGUAUUGCACACGAUCUCGCAAGAGCACCUGAGACCCAGCGCGUGCGUGCCUGCACAUGCGCGCUGCUUCUUCAAAGACAUGGCCGGACGCGCGGGCCGCGGUGCGCAUCGCUGGGAUAACGUUUCAGCGCAGCAGCCGCGGCGCGCGCACACGGCAGCCGUCGGCGCGCCUCGGCGCACGACACGCGCAUGUACAUACAUACAUACGCCGCACACCAAUCUCAAAUCAGGCAAGACUACCCGCCGAACUUAA